Molecule: ribosomal RNA, 465 nt
Filed under: uncultured bacterium
Lineage: Bacteria
Description: bacterial SSU rRNA
Rfam family: Bacterial small subunit ribosomal RNA
Source: RNAcentral
CCUACGGGCUGCACCAGUGGGGAAUAUUGCACAAUGGGCGCAAGCCUGAUGCAGCCAUGCCGCGUGUAUGAGGAAGGCCUUCGGGUUGUAAAGUACUUUCAGCGAGGAGGAAGGCAUUAAGGUUAAUAACCUUGGUGAUUGACGUUACUCGCAGAAGAAGCACCGGCUAACUCCGUGCCAGCAGCCGCGGUAAUACGGAGGGUGCAAGCGUUAAUCGGAAUUACUGGGCGUAAAGCGCACGCAGGCGGUCUGUCAAGUCGGAUGUGAAAUCCCCGGGCUCAACCUGGGAACUGCAUUCGAAACUGGCAGGCUAGAGUCUUGUAGAGGGGGGUAGAAUUCCAGGUGUAGCGGUGAGAUGCGUAGAGAUCUGGAGGAAUACCGGUGGCGAAGGCGGCCCCCUGGACGAAGACUGACGCUUAGGUGCGAAAGCGUGGGGAGCAAACAGGAUUAGAUACCCCAGUAGUC